UUGGCCUCCUUGCGGCAUAUGGAGCGCGCAGGACCAUAAGGUCCUGCGCGCUUUUUUUAUCUCA
This 64-nucleotide small RNA is filed under the name Paenibacillus sp. P22. RNAcentral's name for it is "ctRNA". The record is from RNAcentral. Lineage: Bacteria; Bacillati; Bacillota; Bacilli; Caryophanales; Paenibacillaceae.